This 92-nucleotide Y RNA is filed under the name Prolemur simus (greater bamboo lemur). Its description in RNAcentral is "Y RNA (ENSPSMG00000000285.1)". It matches the Rfam family "Y RNA". Rfam says of the family: Y RNAs are components of the Ro ribonucleoprotein particle (Ro RNP), in association with Ro60 and La proteins. The Y RNAs and Ro60 and La proteins are well conserved, but the function of the Ro RNP is not known. The record is from Rfam by way of RNAcentral. Lineage: Eukaryota; Metazoa; Chordata; Mammalia; Primates; Lemuridae.
GGCUGGUCUGAUGGUAGUUAGCAGAACUUACUAACAUUAGUGUCACUAAAGUUGGUAUUCAACCCCCCACUGCUAAAUUUGACUGGCUUUAA